Molecule: ribosomal RNA, 468 nt
Filed under: uncultured bacterium
Lineage: Bacteria
Description: partial 16S ribosomal RNA
Rfam family: Bacterial small subunit ribosomal RNA
Source: RNAcentral
GACGAACGCUGGCGGCGUGCUUAACACAUGCAAGUCGAACGGAAAGGCCCGGCUUUUGUGGGGUGCUCGAUUGGCGAAGGGGGGAGUAACACGUGAGUAACCUGCCCUUAACUUUGGGAUAACUUCAGGAAACUGGGGCUAAUACCGGAUAGGAUCUCCUGCUGCGUGGGGGGGGUUGGUAAGAUUCGGCCGUGGGGGCUGGUCUCGCGGCUUAUGCGCUGCUUGGGCGGGUAGUCGCUUACCAAGGCUGUGACGGGUAGCCCGCCUGGGAGGGUAGACGGCGACAAUAGGCCUGCGAUACGCCGCAGACUCCUACGGGCGGCAGCAGUCGGGAGUCUUGCACAAUGACCGCACGCGUGAUGCAGCGACGCCCCGUGCGUGAUGCUGGCCUUCGGGUUGUGAACCGCUUUCGCCUGUGCCGAAGCGUGCGUGACGGUAAUGGGUCAAGAAGCACCGGCUAACUACGUG